CACACACACACACACACACACACACACACACACACACACUUUUAUCUAGAGCAGUAGAGCACGCUUUACAAUGAUAGCGUGCCUUGACUAUUUUUCACAUAACGCCAUUAUACAUGCCUUAUCUUUUCCCCACGAACUCCACAAAUAUCUUCGUCAGAUAAGCAUGGAUAUUGUGCUUGUAUGCUUCAGGCACCUCAGAAAUAAAGUGGGGACCUGCAUAGCAAAAUUAGCUUUAAUUAAAACUUGCCAAAUACAUAACCAAAAGACUCUUGUUAAAGGAGGCCUCACUGUUGCUAAUUUAAUCAUUUUAUUAUCAAUACCUCCUUUUUAGUGAGGUGGGGGAAGGAGUUACAAACAGGCUAAAAAACCUGUUCCUUAGAUUUACAGUGCUGAAAGUAAGAACAGCUGCCAUGCAAAUGUAUACUUUAAGUCAAUUCUGCACAUUUCUGAGUAGAGGACAACUUUGUUUUUUUUGUUUUGCCUUUUUACAGUUUAUAAACACCAUGAAUGCAUUAAAGAAAGUUUCCAAAUGCUUACAAGGUCUCUAUUUUAAAUGAUAUAAAAGUGAGCAGGUGAAGUUGGUACAGGAACAUGCUUUUGAUAUAGGUUUUCAUGCUGGUAUCUUUUAGUUUUCAGAAAUCUAUUGUUCAAAAAUAUUGUAAAAAAUGCUUCAAAUUUAAAUGCUUCAAAACAAGUUUUUUUGUUUUGUUUUGUUUUUUAAAUAGGCCCAACUGAUAGGUUCAGAUUGUACAUUCAUUCAAACUAUAAAAAACACAUGGAAAAUCAGAUGAUUUUCAGCUCAUACAAAGCAAGUUUUAAAAUCAAGCAUUUAUUUAAAAAUAAUGCUUUUAUUUGGUUACUAGGAAGAUACAGUUUAAUAAAGUUUACACACAUACAUUUUAUAUUACAUGUUUUGACGCUACGCAAAAAUGGCUUUAUAAUUACACUGUAGGUGUGUAUGUUAUUUACUUGUUUGUAUUUUCUUGUUUGUGUCCUGCCAUUUACUUACAUAGGGCCAAACCAUCCUGUGUGUAAGGCACGUAGUGGCCUACAGUAAAAAUAAGAGGAAAUGGACCAAAAGCAACGGAAGAGAGAGACCACUUUUCUAUGGCAUUAUGUAGUAUGUUUGGACAAUAGCAUAUAUCUGGCUAUGCUAUGGAAAGAAGGAGCUCCAGGAGAAAGUAGGGUUAAGAAAAGUUGUUUUCCCUAAGUUACGAUCGCACAGCUGGAAGUCACACCGGGCCAAACCAAAACUAAUUUCUACAAAACUUGGUAAAUUGUCAGCUUCAGCAUUCAUGGAUAUAGGGGAAUGAAGAGUCAGACAAAGGUUAAAGGGGCAUGUACAAGGAAAGAGCUCAAAACAAGCUCAUCUGACUGGAGGGUACACCAAGGAACUUGUGUGUUAAGCAUGUACCCAGCAGUGCUCCCUCCCGUGCUUAGAAAGCUAUAUGCAAAGAGGGAUGUUAAGUAAGGAAGAAGACAUCACAUCUCCAAACAGGUUCUCAUACAGAACAAAUAGUAUUAUACUGCACAGCAUGGGCCCUGUAUGAAUUGCAAAAUGUGGCCAAAUGGGGCAAAUCAGAGAAAAACACCUAGUCGAGGAAAGCAAUACAUUAUGUGGUGGAUUGUAAUGUAAAGAGAAAGUGUUGGCCUUCAUCAUCAAAGUCACAUGAGUCUCUACCAAAAGGGAGUGAAAUAAAGAACACUAUGGAAACAUCCAAUCCAUUCUGAAUGCACAAGGGUUAGACCAAUAUAUGAGGAGUGAUAGGCGAGCCCAUUAGUUCCUAGCACAGAAAUUGACUCAUCUCCAUGUUUCUCUGCAUGUUUUCAGGCCUUGUCACAUGCUCAAUCUAUUUAGCUAUUUAUACCAUGCUUAUUGCUACGGUAUUUGUGUGCUCUACAAAACUAUAAAUCCAUUAAUCGAUCUCAACAUAGGCUCACUUUGUUUCUUUUUCCCCCUUCACCAGCAUGCACGCAUGUGCACACACACACUCUCUAAUGGUAUACAUAUGAUUUAAAAAAUCAUAUUAAUACAGAUGUUUUGUCUAGGAUCCGAGUGAACAAACCAUGUCAAAUAAGUUACUGUAACAUAACACAUUAUGUUGUCUGCUAGAUCAAAGUUAGAAAAAUUUGAUUUUUUUAGAUUAGGACAAAGGAGAUUCUAGCCCUCUACAGAUGUUGCUCAUUCUUUAUUAUUAUUGACCGUGCAAGGGUUGGUUUUCUGCACAUUUGAAGACAUACCUCCUCUUUGUUUGAACACACUUUUUUCACAUAGUUUUCCUCAUGGUUUUGGCAAUUGCAUGGCUACUUUUGCAAUUGUGCAUGAUUUGCCUCUCAGAACUUACUUAGACAAAUUUUCUAUUAAAGUUAGUGGAAGUCUUGUCUGAACAACAACUGCACAAUUUGGUCCAUUUCUGCUUACGUCACUGUACGUAAAAGUCACAGUAUUGAGACCUUUAUGGAAAUUGUCAUAUCAAAAUGUAGAAUCUAGUUCAGGAAAGUAACUCAAGUAAAAUAUUGACCUCAACCUUUGUGGCAGCAAGUUAUUCUAACGGUACCUUGUAUAGAUCUUUUAAGCAUGUAAUAAAAAAAGAAACAAAUGUAAUUGUACAGUAGAAUAUUUGAACAAAAAUCCCAAACAAAAAGGUAACGUGUAGCGCACACACUGUAUGAAAAUUGUAUUUCAACAUGUAAAAAGCAUCUACACAAAUUCACAUUGCACUGACAGACCUGCAAUUUGAAUCAGAAAAUGCAGCAUAUCUUGAUACAAAGUAGAAAAGUUAAUUAUAAAAGAAAUUAGUCUCCGUGUCCUCCCUUGGCAUUAAUUAAAUUACUGUAUAUAUUUGAUCGCAAGCUGGUUCGUUUAUGGAUAAGUAAAAAUGGCAAAUUUUUAUGACCUAUUCAUAAGUUGACCCUAUAAUUCAGGGGUCAGCAAACUUUGGCUCCCGGCCCAUCAAGAUAAGCGGCUGGCGGGCCAAGACAGUUUGUUUACCUCGAGCGUCCGCAGGCACGGAGGUAAACCUAAGUAAACAAACUGUCACGGCCCACCAGCGGCUUACCCUGACGGGCCGGGACAGCAACUGGUGGGGAAAUUUUUGGAGGGGGAGAAGCUGGAGGUCAGGGGAGUAACCCCUGUGACCACCCCCACAUGACCCUAUCCCUGGACCUCUCCACAUGACCCAUCCCCAUGUAACCCCUCCCCGCCCCUAGCCCAGGACCACCACACGCUCCCCAUCCCAUCCCUUCCCACCUUAUCUGGGGCGGGCCAUGGGGAGGAUGUCUCUGGCCUGGCUGCAGCCUGCUCCGGCUGGCUGGGCUGGGCGGCGCAGCCACAGCCUGUCAGCCCCAGAGCUGCAGCUGCUUCGGAGGCUGGGGGGAGAGCAGCAUAGCCAGAAGAGGAGAGACUCUGGCCCCGCCUCUUCCCUUCUGGCUCUGCUGCCUAUCCUUGCCCUUGCCUAUCCUGGGCUGUGUCCCACCUCUCCCUCUCUAUACCCAUACUCAUAAGCCAACCCCCUUCUCUCCCUUCUCUGAUGCUUCACUUUUUUACUAAAAAAAUUCAGCCUAUGAACAAGUAUAUAUGGUAGGUUUUUCCAUUUCAUAGAAGUCUUCCCUUGAUUUCCAAAAAAACAAAAAAUCCCACAAAUGUAAUGGUUUUCUUGAUUAAUCACUUACGACUUAAUCCUGCUCUAUUGAAGUGAAUGGGAGGUUUACUAUUGAUUUCAUUGGGAGCAGGACCAGACCCUUAAACUGUAGGUGCAGAAAUUAUUACUGCAAAAAAAUUGCUUUUGUAACAAAGCAAUGGUGUAUGUCAAAAUAGCUUUAUUAUAAAAAAAUUGCAAUUUAUCUGAGUCUGCAAUUAAAAUAUACAUUUCUGGUGUUAGCCUUUCUGGUAACAAAUAAGCUGAAAUGUACUCAGUCACUACUUGUCCUAAAGCAUGUGCAAUUAUAUUCAUGCAUUGAAUAGUGGAUCAAAAUUUGUAAUGAAGAAUCAGUGAUGUAGAGAUUUUUACUUCAUUGGUUACUGGAAGAGUACUUUUGUGAGCAUACCAAGUUAGUCUGUGAAGUUUUUUAAUUAUUCUUUCAUAAAAACUUCAGACCUGA
This is a non-coding RNA of Chrysemys picta bellii (western painted turtle), 4101 nucleotides long. NCBI's taxonomy places the organism in Eukaryota, Metazoa, Chordata, Testudines, Emydidae. The record is from RefSeq and is a predicted model, not a curated record.